Molecule: unclassified non-coding RNA, 384 nt
Filed under: soil metagenome
Description: partial contains 5.8S ribosomal RNA, internal transcribed spacer 2, and large subunit ribosomal RNA
Rfam family: 5.8S ribosomal RNA (bases 1-120)
Source: RNAcentral
GAUGAAGAACGUAGCGAAAUGCGAUAAGUAAUGUGAAUUGCAGAAUUCAGUGAAUCAUCGAAUCUUUGAACGCAUCUUGCGCUCCUUGGUAUUCCGAGGAGCAUGCCUGUUUGAGUGUCAUUAAAUUCUCAACUACACUGAUUUUUUUUUUUUGGUUGGUGUAGAUUGGAUUUGGGGGGAUUUUUUGCGGGCUUUGUAAAAUGAAGUCAGCUCCCCUGAAAUUGAUUAGCGGUACCUUUGUGGAACUGUCUACAGGUGUGAUAAUUAUCUACAUCUUAGACAUCUGCUGGAAUGCUGCUUUCUAAACCUUACUUGUAUUGACAAUCUUGACCUCAAAUCAGGUAGGACUACCCGCUGAACUUAAGCAUAUCAAUAAGCGGAGGA